CACCCUGGGGCCAGUGAAUAGUCCCCAGACUAGUUUAUUCUUGGAAGCAGAGGCUGAAAGAGUGGGCCCAGGAGCAAGUGAUGUUGAGAGACACAGCUACACUGUGAGAUUAACUUCUCAGAAAAGCUUUUCCUCAUUUUUGUGAAAGAAAAAACAAGUGUUGAAUGCCUGAAUCCUCAGAAACAGGAACAAAGAGGGACUGCAGAGUACCAUGACUGUGUUAGAAUUGUGUAGACAAAGCUAUACAAAGAUACAGUUCAAGAUCCUUCGUUUUACAAAGUUGUUUAUAUGA
RNAcentral lists this long non-coding RNA (292 nucleotides) under Cyanistes caeruleus (blue tit). RNAcentral's name for it is "lncRNA (ENSCCEG00000016168.1)". Lineage: Eukaryota; Metazoa; Chordata; Aves; Passeriformes; Paridae. The record is from RNAcentral.